This is a long non-coding RNA of Crotalus tigris (Tiger rattlesnake), 936 nucleotides long. RefSeq lists it as uncharacterized. The transcript has 3 exons. The record is from RefSeq and is a predicted model, not a curated record. NCBI's taxonomy places the organism in Eukaryota, Metazoa, Chordata, Lepidosauria, Squamata, Viperidae.
CUUACUACUGCAGCACAGAGCAGUAUUAAAACGAUCAUAGAAAUAUCCGUUUGUUUCCCACCUCUGGGAAAAGGUGAUCCCAGAGUAUCCCAAAGGGAUCGCUCAUCAUAGAUUCCAGUGGCUUGUAAAAAGCCUCCCUGCAAUGGAGCACCCCACAACCUCUGGAGCCAUUCCACUGGUUAAUUUCUCCUUCGUUUUAGGCUGAAUCUCUCUUCGAUGGUUCCUUCGGCUGCUUUGCAGAGUACCACAGAGAGAUGUUGUUAACUAAUGAAAGAUGAGCAGCGGUCAACCUUCUCCAGAACUUUGAUGGUCUUCUCCACAAGUUCCACCUCCAAUUCUGGAAGAACGAUGGAUCCAGGAAAGGAGAAGUUCUUCUCUUGUUCUGGAACCGCAAGCUGAGAUGAAGCCAUCAGAUCUCUUAAGGAGGCUGAAUCUAGCUAAAAAGCAGCAGAGACGGGUGGAAUUAUUCCUGUCUUGGGUGUGGUCCUUCCCUUGUGGUGUGGCGGAUUGUGUUUCCAUUAGCACCCCACCGAAGAGGGUCCCUGUUAGUUUUUUUCCCAACUGGCUUUCUUCCACUCCCUUUGGUAGAGCAGGCUUUGUUUUCCAAAAGCAAUGAAAGAAGCUUUUGUUUUCCCGGCCUUAUCUUGGAUAUGCUUGAAACGUUUUUUCCCUUUUCUCCUGGGGUGUCUUUCGGCUUGUGGGAAGGUCAGAGGUGGAAGAAACGUGUGUGUGGUUGUUUCUUUCAGGACGAUGCGUCAUGCAUAUUUUCUUCGCUUUCCCCAUUUGCAAAAGUUUUGGAUGGAAGGCACUGUGUUGAAAAGAUGUGACUUCGGCUCCCAGAAUUCCCCAGCUUUAAGAGAAGUUGUGGGUCCUCCAUCAAAGAAGGUUUCCCUAAUUGAUUAUUCUCACUGUCAGGAAAUUUCACCUUAGUUCUAG